CAGGCCUAACACAUGCAAGUCGAACGGGAAGCGGUGCUAAUUGCUUCGGUGAUAUAGUGCCGUGGAGAGUGGCGAACGGGUGCGUAACACGUAGGUAACCUGCCCUGAAAUGGGGGAUAACCACGGGAAACUGUGGCUAAUACCGCAUAAUCUCGCCGAGACGGUGGUUUCGGUGAGGAAAGCUGAGGCGAUUUGGGAGGGGCCUGCGGUCGAUUAGCUGGUUGGUGGGGUAAAAGCCUACCAAGGCGAUGAUCGAUAGCUGUUCUGAGAGGAAGACCAGCCACACGGGAACUGAGACACGGUUCCGACUCCUACGGGGGGCAGCAGUGAGGAAUAUUGCGCAAUGGGGGAAACCCUGACGCAGCAACGCCGCGUGGAGGAUGAAGGUUUUCGGAUUGUAAACUCCUUAUCUGGGGGAAGAGGAAGGACGGUACCCCAGGACGAAGACACGGCUAACUAGGUGCCAGCAGCCGCGGUAAUACCUAGGUGUCAAGCGUUAUCCGGAAUUACUGGGCGUAAAGGGUGCGCAGGCGGCGAUACAAGUCUGGCGUGAAAGCUUCUGGCUUAACUGGGAGAGGACGUUAGAAACUGUAUGGCUAGAGUGAAUGAGAGGGAGGCGGAA
Molecule: ribosomal RNA, 622 nt
Filed under: uncultured bacterium
Lineage: Bacteria
Description: bacterial SSU rRNA
Rfam family: Bacterial small subunit ribosomal RNA
Source: RNAcentral